This 1449-nucleotide long non-coding RNA is filed under the name Chrysemys picta bellii (western painted turtle). RNAcentral describes it as "lncRNA (ENSCPBG00000009603.1)". The record is from RNAcentral. Lineage: Eukaryota; Metazoa; Chordata; Testudines; Emydidae.
CCGUUUGCAGGCCCUCUUGCUGUUGGUGGGGCUGCUGCAGGUGGCCUUUGGUGUCCUCUUGGCCAUUUCCCCCUGCGUCUAUAGGGAUGAGCUGCAUGUCCACUUUUACUCAGCAGUGCUGUUGCUCUUGGCUGGAAUCAUCACUCUGGCUGCAGACACAACACACAGCCUGGCCCUGGUGAAAGCCUGCCUGGUCAUUUACAUCAUCUGCACAGCGGUGGUGGGCAUGAUCAACUUAUUCUACCUUGUGGACUUGGUGUAUGAUCCCCGUAACCGGUACAUCCAGUGUCCUUCCAGCAACAGGUUGCACUGCAGGCGGCUGUACCAGAUCUCGCACUAUUGCACGGGCAUGCGGGCCAUCAUCCUGAUCUUAACCUCACUGGGGUUCUUCGUUUCCAUUGCCCUGGCAGCCUUCGGAUGCAAAGCGGUGUGUCGUCAGAACUCUGCUGAUGAUGUGCCGGUCGCCGCCCUGACGAAUCCGCCCGCUUCCCACGAGGCCGCCGUGGAGCCCGAGCCUGUGGUGUCAGAGGGACCUGCGGCGUGAGUGUCCCCUGGUGGAGAGACCGACAGCCCCCCUCAGCAAGCAGCUACCCUGUGUCCCUCAGCGAGAGGUGUUUCUGUUUCACCCUCUCUGCCUUCCCUCCAUCAUCCCCCCUUGUGGAAAAGCCCCUGCUAACUGCCGUUGUGUGUUGUUGCUGCUCACAUGCCCCCUGCUGGACUACCGCACCAUUGCGCCAUGGUGCAAGCGCCCCCCAAAAUCUGUUAAUGUCUUGCAAGCCAAGGGCCUGUCCUGCAAAAUCCUGGAUGGGGAGAGGAUGGCAUAGCACCAUCUGAUGGGCCCUGCAACUAGCUAACAGGAAGUGGGCUAGAGAGAGGCGCAGAGCCUGGCACAGGUUAUGGAUUCCCUCAACCAAGCUCUGAACCCAGCUUCAUCCAUUAUGUGUAAUUGUUAUGUGAAGGCAUCUCCCUGAAACCUGGAACUCUCUGAUUCAUGGAGCCAUAGAUUCUAAGGCCAGAAGGCACCGUUAAAUCAUCUACUCUGACCUUCUGUGUAACACAGGUCAGCGCAUGUCACUCAGUUACCCCUGCACAGAGCCUGAUAACUUGUAUUCAGCUGAAGCCUCUUCCACAAAGGCAUCAGUCUUGAUCUGAAGCUACCAAGAAAUGGAGAAUCCAUCACUUCCCUUGGUAGUCUGUUAAUCGUGUGCACCAUUAGAAAUUUGUGCCUAAUUUCUAAUUUAAUUUGUCUGGCUUCAGCUUACAGCCAUCGGUUCUCGUUAUGCCUUUCUCUGCUCGAUUACAGAGCCCUGGUAUUUGAUCUUCCACAAGAAGUCUACCGGGGGCAUCUCCUCCUGCUUUAAUUGGUGGGUCUAUCAGCGAAGCUGCAGGCACGGAUCAUGACAUGUGUUAUUUCUCCAAAGGAAUGGCUUUGCGGCUGAUUGAGGUGUG